GUACUGAUUGGGACGCUAGUCAAGCACUACAUUAAUGUCAAAUGAUAGCCUUAAAGUUAAAAUGCCACCACUAACAAAAUCCUUAGCCUUAUUUUGACUUGACAAACAUAUCCUGCCCCUGCAUACUGAUUUUCGCACUUUUUUGCUUCCUUCAGAACCUGGAUUCAUCUAGCAUUAUUGCUUCGCCUUGCAAGGACUGACUUAUAUACGCCCAC
This 215-nucleotide long non-coding RNA is filed under the name Gossypium raimondii (Peruvian cotton). RNAcentral's name for it is "long non-coding RNA (GRAI_LNC006946)". The record is from RNAcentral. Lineage: Eukaryota; Viridiplantae; Streptophyta; Magnoliopsida; Malvales; Malvaceae.